Molecule: non-coding RNA, 761 nt
Organism: Delphinapterus leucas (beluga whale)
Lineage: Eukaryota; Metazoa; Chordata; Mammalia; Artiodactyla; Monodontidae
Source: RefSeq, a predicted model, not a curated record
GGCGCUUUUCCUGUACUCACUCCAGGUGACCCGCAGAGCCUGCACACAGGACGCAGGGCCUGACCCCACCGGAAACAGCAUCCCCUCUGACGGCAGCCGAGCGAGGGUGCGGGCAGGACGUGCACGGUGAUCGUGAGGCGAUGCUCUGGUCCGGCGUGGGCACAGCGCAGGAAAGAAUCAGGAGUGGAUUCCAGAGUGGCCCUGGACCCCUUCUUGCAGCCCGUCCCGGGGACUGUGCCCUCCCCGCGGUGCGGCAUAAGAAGAACGGAGGGUACCCACCCACGCUGGGGCCGAAGAAGGAGGCCACAUCCCCGGCUCCAGGCAGCCAGGACGGGUCUGCGGUCUGUGAAAGGAGUAGGGGCUGAAGGAAUGUCCUUGCAGGGCGGCAGCUUCUAAUUCUGAAGGCAUCUGCCUUCCCAGCCUCAAGCUGUUCCCGGGCCAAAACAAGAAGGGCAAUGGACUCUCUGUCCCCGCUUCCAGUACUCCCACCUCACUCGCACACGGAGUUCCUGUUUCUUGGGGGUCCGCUAGGGAGGGGAGCCUAUCUCUGACAUUCUUCGUUAAACUUAACUUUGUCAGCAGAACCUCUCCGAUGCCCAGAGCCAGAGCCGCUCUGGUGUGAAGGCAUAGGAGGUGUCUGAGGACACAUGUCACCAUUCUUUGCUCACCAAAUGGACUUGGAUGUUGACUGUGAGAAAAUGAACUCAGUUCAGGGAGCAUUUUCCACAUUGCUCUCGUAAGCUUUGAUGGUCUUGGUAAGC